This 174-nucleotide unclassified non-coding RNA is filed under the name uncultured bacterium. RNAcentral's name for it is "contains 16S-23S intergenic spacer region". The record is from RNAcentral.
GUAUUACCGCGGCUGCUGGCACGUAGUUAGCCGGGGCUUCUUAGUCAGGUACCGUCAUUUUCUUCCCUGCUGAUAGAAGUUUACAUACCGAAAUACUUCUUCCUUCACGCGGCGUCGCUGCAUCAGGGUUUCCCCCAUUGUGCAAUAUUCCCCACUGCUGCCUCCCGUAGGAGU